This 488-nucleotide ribosomal RNA is filed under the name uncultured Propionibacterium sp. RNAcentral's name for it is "partial 16S ribosomal RNA". The record is from RNAcentral. Lineage: Bacteria; Bacillati; Actinomycetota; Actinomycetes; Propionibacteriales; Propionibacteriaceae.
CACGUAGUUAGCCGGUGCUUCUUUAUCCAUUACCGUCACUCACGCUUCGUCACAGGCGAAAGCGGUUUACAACCCGAAGGCCGUCAUCCCGCACGCGGCGUUGCUGCAUCAGGCUUCCGCCCAUUGUGCAAUAUUCCCCACUGCUGCCUCCCGUAGGAGUCUGGGCCGUAUCUCAGUCCCAAUGUGGCCGGUCACCCUCUCAGGCCGGCUACCCGUCAAAGCCUUGGUAAGCCACUACCCCACCAACAAGCUGAUAAGCCGCGAGUCCAUCCCCAACCGCCGAAACUUUCCAACCCCCACCAUGCAGCAGGAGCUCCUAUCCGGUAUUAGCCCCAGUUUCCUGAAGUUAUCCCAAAGUCAAGGGCAGGUUACUCACGUGUUACUCACCCGUUCGCCACUCGAGCACCCCACAAAAGCAGGGCCUUUCCGUUCGACUUGCAUGUGUUAAGCACGCCGCCAGCGUUCGUCCUGAGCCAGGAUCAAACUCU